RNAcentral lists this ribosomal RNA (412 nucleotides) under bacterium. Its description in RNAcentral is "bacterial SSU rRNA". It matches the Rfam family "Bacterial small subunit ribosomal RNA", at positions 384 to 789 of the family's 1533-position model. The record is from RNAcentral.
UGAUGGAGCACGCCGCGUGAACGAUGAAGGCUUUCGGGUCGUAAAGUUCUGUUGUAAGGGAAGAACAAGUGCCGCAGGCAAUGGCGGCACCUUGACGGUACCUUGCGAGAAAGCCACGGCUAACUACGUGCCAGCAGCCGCGGUAAUACGUAGGUGGCAAGCGUUGUCCGGAAUUAUUGGGCGUAAAGCGCGCGCAGGCGGCCUCUUAAGUCUGAUGUGAAAGCCCCCGGCUCAACCGGGGAGGGCCAUUGGAAACUGGGAGGCUUGAGUAUAGGAGAGAAGAGUGGAAUUCCACGUGUAGCGGUGAAAUGCGUAGAGAUGUGGAGGAACACCAGUGGCGAAGGCGACUCUUUGGCCUAUAACUGACGCUGAGGCGCGAAAGCGUGGGGAGCAAACAGGAUUAGAUACCCCC